CGAACGGGUGAGUAACACGUGAGCAACGUGCCCAAGACUCUGGAAUAACUUCGGGAAACCGGAGCUAAUACUGGAUACGAGACGCGAAGGCAUCUUCAGCGUCUGGAAAGAAUUUCGGUCUUGGAUCGGCUCACGGCCUAUCAGCUUGUUGGUGAGGUAAUGGCUCACCAAGGCGACGACGGGUAGCCGGCCUGAGAGGGUGACCGGCCACACUGGGACUGAGACACGGCCCAG
RNAcentral lists this ribosomal RNA (234 nucleotides) under uncultured Actinomycetes bacterium. Its description in RNAcentral is "uncultured actinobacterium partial 16S ribosomal RNA". It matches the Rfam family "Bacterial small subunit ribosomal RNA", at positions 99 to 334 of the family's 1533-position model. The record is from RNAcentral. Lineage: Bacteria; Bacillati; Actinomycetota; Actinomycetes.